GUGGGGAAUCUUGCGCAAUGGGCGAAAGCCUGACGCAGCCAUGCCGCGUGAAUGAUGAAGGUCUUAGGAUUGUAAAAUUCUUUCACCGGGGACGAUAAUGACGGUACCCGGAGAAGAAGCUCCGGCUAACUUCGUGCCAGCAGCCGCGGUAAUACGAAGGGGGCUAGCGUUGCUCGGAAUUACUGGGCGUAAAGGGCGCGUAGGCGGACAGCUUAGUCAGAGGUGAAAGCCCAGGGCUCAACCUUGGAAUUGCCUUUGAUACUGGCUGUCUUGAGUUUGGGAGAGGUGUGUGGAACUCCGAGUGUAGAGGUGAAAUUCGUAGAUAUUCGGAAGAACACCAGUGGCGAAGGCGACACACUGGCCCAAUACUGACGCUGAGGCUCGAAAGCGUGGGGAGCAAACAGGAUUAGAAACCCGAGUAGUCC
RNAcentral lists this ribosomal RNA (425 nucleotides) under uncultured bacterium. RNAcentral's name for it is "partial 16S ribosomal RNA". It matches the Rfam family "Bacterial small subunit ribosomal RNA", at positions 354 to 796 of the family's 1533-position model. The record is from RNAcentral.